GCGAAUACCUUACCUACCCUUGACAUGUACGGAAGCCUGCUGAGAGGUGGGUGUGCUCGAAAGAGAGCCGUAACACAGGUGCUGCAUGGCUGUCGUCAGCUCGUGUCGUGAGAUGUUGGGUUAAGUCCCGCAACGAGCGCAACCCUUGUCCCUAGUUGCUACGCAAGGGCACUCUAGGGAGACUGCCGGUGACAAACCGGAGGAAGGUGGGGAUGACGUCAAGUCCUCAUGGCCCUUAUGGGUAGGGCUUCACACGUCAUACAAUGGACGGUACAGAGGGUUGCCAACCCGCGAGGGGGAGCCAAUCCCAGAAAGCCGUUCGUAGUCCGGAUUGCAGUCUGCAACUCGACUGCAUGAAGUCGGAAUCGCUAGUAAUCGCGGAUCAGCAUGUCGCGGUGAAUACGUUCCCGGGUCUUGUACACACCGCCCGUCACACCAUGGGAGCGGGAUGUACCAGAAGUAGGUAGGCUAACCGCAAGGGGGCCGCUUACCACGGUGCGUUUCGUGACUGGGGUGAAGUCGUAACAAGGUAAC
Molecule: ribosomal RNA, 534 nt
Filed under: uncultured beta proteobacterium
Lineage: Bacteria; Pseudomonadati; Pseudomonadota; Betaproteobacteria
Description: bacterial SSU rRNA
Rfam family: Bacterial small subunit ribosomal RNA
Source: RNAcentral